Molecule: long non-coding RNA, 784 nt
Filed under: Nicotiana tabacum (common tobacco)
Lineage: Eukaryota; Viridiplantae; Streptophyta; Magnoliopsida; Solanales; Solanaceae
Description: long non-coding RNA (NTAB_LNC017169)
Source: RNAcentral
UGGGGUCCGCAAUAAUUCAUGUCAAAGCCUAUAAGAGCAAGGGAAAAUGACAAUGUAAAGAUCAAAGAGUUCCUGAAUAUGAAAUGGUCCCAAUCUUCCUGAGACUGACAAGAAAAAGAAAGAGCAGGUAAAAAAUUGGCAUAGAGGGAGUACAAAGUGUUUAACUUACUUUUGUUGGACAUACCUAAUCAAACUAAGACCUAAUUGGAUGAGAGUUCUAGCCUUGUCGUCAAAGCAAAUUUUUGGAAUGCACAUUGUUGUACAUGAAAGUUUAUAAUUGUUCUGAUUUCUUUAAACGUUUACUGUUCCUGUUGAAAUUGGUAUACAUUUACUUCCCUGUCUAGCUGUUUCUGAAUUUAAAUUGUGAUGCAUCUUAUUCUUGAAUUUGACCCAACUUUUACACUGAUGCAGAGAUAAAACAUGGAUACAAUGUGCAGCUUACUGAAGACGACGUGUAAUUUUUCACCUAUUAACCCUGUUCUGGGAUAUUUAGCAUCCAUUAGCUUGAGAAUCUAAGUGUCUCUCUUGCUGUGUCUACUCUGCGCAAAGGCCAGAGGUGUUCAUUGUUGUUUUUGCGUGUCGCAUUGCUGAAUAAUCUCUCCCUCUCCCUCUCCUUCACUCUUUUACAUAUAGUUCAAAUAGAGCUAGAGGAAAAGAAAAGGAUUGUUAAUGUGUUUAUUUUUCAAGUUUUCCUUUUUGCUUUGGUUUGUUUCCAAGUCAUUCUUUGAGAAAUCAGCAAAAGUGAAAAAUGAUUUCUGUACAUAAACUCUUUGGGAUCUCUUUG